AAUGGGCCCGCGUUAGAUUAGCUAGAUGGUAAGGUAAUGGCUUACCAUGGCGACGAUCUAUAGCUGGUUUGAGAGGAUGAUCAGCCACACUGGGACUGAGACACGGCCCAGACUCCUACGGGAGGCAGCAGUGGGGAAUAUUGGACAAUGGGGGCAACCCUGAUCCAGCGAUGCCGCGUGUGUGAUGAAGGCCUUAGGGUUGUAAAACACUUUCAGAUGGGAUGAUAAUGACAGUACCAUCAGAAGAAGCUCCGGCUAACUCCGUGCCAGCAGCCGCGGUAAUACGGAGGGAGCUAGCGUUGUUCGGAAUUACUGGGCGUAAAGCGCGCGUAGGCGGCUUGACAAGUUGAGGGUGAAAUCCCGGGGCUUAACCUCGGAACUGCCCUCAAAACUGUUGAGCUAGAGACAUGGAGAGGUGAGUAGAGUUCCUAGUGUAGAGGUGAAAUUCGUAGAUAUUAGGAAGAAUACCAGUGGCGAAGGCGGCUCACUGGGCCAUGUACUGACGCUGAGGUGCGAAAGCGUGGGGAGCGAA
This 532-nucleotide ribosomal RNA is filed under the name uncultured bacterium. Its description in RNAcentral is "bacterial SSU rRNA". It matches the Rfam family "Bacterial small subunit ribosomal RNA", at positions 224 to 772 of the family's 1533-position model. The record is from RNAcentral.